This 637-nucleotide long non-coding RNA is filed under the name Homo sapiens (human). RNAcentral's name for it is "HSALNT0348942". Lineage: Eukaryota; Metazoa; Chordata; Mammalia; Primates; Hominidae. The record is from RNAcentral.
GGCGCCCAGGUGUCAGGACCUGAGGAGAAAGAGUGCGCGUAGCGGGAGGGCCCCGAAGUGUCGGGGCGGGAUCCUGGAAGGAGGGAGAACGUGAGGAGGGAGGAAGGGUCCCUGGGGUGUCAGGGAUGGGGGCCAGGAAAGGGGCAGAGAGCUGGAGGCCCACAAGUGGGGAUAGCGGGGGAGGGAGGUUGGAGCGAGUGGGGAACGCAGGUGGUGUCGAGGGCGGGGACAGGGCGAGGGGAGCGGGGCGUGAGGAAGUUGUGGGAAACCGCGCUGGACGCUGAGAAUGUGCGGAAGGAUCCUGAGGGGAGGACGCGAGACAGCGCGAGGAGAGACGAGGAGAGUUAGGGUUGGCCGGGAGGGUGCGAAGAUGAAGCGACCACUGGAGGCUGUGAGGGUGAAAGGAGCAAGAAUCGUCUAGAGACGGGCUGGGCCGGUGCUGGGGCCAAAGGCUUCUGUCUGUCAGGCCCUUUUUGGCGCUCACUCUAGAAAGAAGAGGCGGAGACGCGAAGAGAUCGGAGUUCAACAAUUUUUAUGAAUUUCUAAUCCAACCUCAUCAUCCUAUGGGAAACAGAAGACCACCAAGAACAGCCAGCUGAGACAGAAUUUCACUGUGUUGCCCAAGCCAAUCUUAAAC